RNAcentral lists this ribosomal RNA (253 nucleotides) under uncultured bacterium. RNAcentral describes it as "partial 16S ribosomal RNA". It matches the Rfam family "Bacterial small subunit ribosomal RNA", at positions 524 to 776 of the family's 1533-position model. The record is from RNAcentral.
UACGAAGGGGACUAGCGUUGUUCGGAUUUACUGGGCGUAAAGCGCGCGUAGGCGGAUCGCUAAGUCAGGGGUGAAAUCCCAGGGCUCAACCCUGGAACUGCCUUUGAUACUGACGAUCUGGAGAUCGGGAGAGGUUGGUGGAAUUCCGAGUGUAGAGGUGAAAUUCGUAGAUAUUGGGAAGAACACCAGUGGCGAAGGCGGCUAACUGGUCCGGAUCUGACGCUGAGGUGCGAAAGCGUGGGGAGCAAACAGG